GUGAGGAAUAUUGGUCAAUGGACGAGAGUCUGAACCAGCCAAGUCGCGUGAAGGAAGACGGUUCUAUGAAUUGUAAACUUCUUUUGUGCAGGAAUAAAGUGGGUUACGUGUAACCUUUUGUAUGUACUGUACGAAUAAGGAUCGGCUAACUCCGUGCCAGCAGCCGCGGUAAUACGGAGGAUCCGAGCGUUAUCCGGAUUUAUUGGGUUUAAAGGGUGCGUAGGUGGAUUGAUAAGUCAGCGGUGAAAGUUUGCAGCUUAACUGUAAAAUUGCCGUUGAAACUGUCGGUCUUGAGUGCAAAUGAGGUAGGCGGAAUGUGUUGUGUAGCGGUGAAAUGCUUAGAUAUAACACAGAACUCCGAUUGCGAAGGCAGCUUACUGGGAUGCAAUUGACACUGAUGCACGAAAGCGUGGGUAUCAAACAGGAUUAGAAACCCGAGUAGUCC
Molecule: ribosomal RNA, 445 nt
Filed under: uncultured bacterium
Lineage: Bacteria
Description: partial 16S ribosomal RNA
Rfam family: Bacterial small subunit ribosomal RNA
Source: RNAcentral